RNAcentral lists this unclassified non-coding RNA (159 nucleotides) under soil metagenome. RNAcentral describes it as "partial internal transcribed spacer 1". The record is from RNAcentral.
CCUGAGUUGACAAACUCCCAACCCUGUGAACAUACCUAUCGUUGCCUCGGCGGGAGGCCCUCAGGGCUUGACGCCACCCCCUCGGGGAGGCCAGCCCGCCGGAGGACGUCCAAACUCUUAGCAUUAAUUGGAUCUUCUGAGUAGCUAUCAAAUAAGUCA